RNAcentral lists this ribosomal RNA (440 nucleotides) under uncultured bacterium. RNAcentral describes it as "partial 16S ribosomal RNA". It matches the Rfam family "Bacterial small subunit ribosomal RNA", at positions 338 to 795 of the family's 1533-position model. The record is from RNAcentral.
CCUACGGGCGGCAGCAGUAGGGAAUAUUGCUCAAUGGGGGAAACCCUGAAGCAGCAACGCCGCGUGGAGGAUGAAGGUUUUAGGAUUGUAAACUCCUUUUGUGAGAGAAGAUAAUGACGGUAUCUAACGAAUAAGCACCGGCUAACUCCGUGCCAGCAGCCGCGGUAAUACGGAGGGUGCAAGCGUUACUCGGAAUCACUGGGCGUAAAGAGCGCGUAGGCGGGCUUGCAAGUCAGAUGUGAAAUCCUGUAGCUUAACUACAGAACUGCAUUUGAAACUGUGAUUCUAGAGUGUGGGAGAGGGAGGUGGAAUUCUUGGUGUAGGGGUAAAAUCCGUAGAUAUCAAGAGGAAUACUCAUUGCGAAGGCGACCUGCUGGAACAUGACUGACGCUGAUGCACGAAAGCGUGGGGAGCAAACAGGAUUAGAUACCCGAGUAGUC